This 253-nucleotide ribosomal RNA is filed under the name uncultured microorganism. Its description in RNAcentral is "partial 16S ribosomal RNA". It matches the Rfam family "Bacterial small subunit ribosomal RNA", at positions 524 to 776 of the family's 1533-position model. The record is from RNAcentral.
UACGUAGGGGGCGAGCGUUACCCGGAUUUACUGGGCGUAAAGCGCGCGUAGGCGGUGCGGUAAGUCAGGGGUUAAAGGCUGCAGCUCAACUGCAGUAAGGCCUUUGAUACUAUCGCGCUAGAGUACCAGAGAGGAUGGCGGAAUUCCCGGUGUAGCGGUGAAAUGCGUAGAUAUCGGGAGGAAUACCAGUGGCGAAGGCGGCCACCUGGUCAGAAACUGACGCUGAGGUACGAAAGCGUGGGGAGCAAACAGG